GACGAACGCUGGCGGCGUGCUUAACACAUGCAAGUCGAACGGAAAGGCCUCUUUCGGGGGGUACUCGAGUGGCGAACGGGUGAGUAACACGUGAGUAACCUGCCCUUGACUGUGGGAUAACUUCAGGAAACUGGGGCUAAUACCGGACAGGAGCUCCUGCUACAUGGUGGGGGUUGGAAUGUUUCGGCGGUUGGGGAUGGACUCGCGGCUUAUCACCUUGUUUGUGGGGUAGUGGCUUACCAAGGCUUUGACGGGUAGCCGGCCUGAGAGGGUGACCGGCGCCAUUGGGACUGCGGUACGGACCAGACGCGUACGGGAGGCAGUAGUGGGGAAUAUUGCACAAUGGGUGGAAGCCUGAUGCAGCAGUGCCGUGUGCGGGAUGACGGGCUGCGGGUUGUAAACCGCUUUCGCUCAUGACGAAGCUUUGUGUGACGGUAGUGGGUAAAGAAGCACCGGCUAACUACGUG
This 467-nucleotide ribosomal RNA is filed under the name uncultured bacterium. RNAcentral's name for it is "partial 16S ribosomal RNA". It matches the Rfam family "Bacterial small subunit ribosomal RNA", at positions 28 to 507 of the family's 1533-position model. The record is from RNAcentral.